This is a long non-coding RNA of Rhododendron vialii, 413 nucleotides long. RefSeq lists it as uncharacterized. The transcript is spliced from 2 exons. NCBI's taxonomy places the organism in Eukaryota, Viridiplantae, Streptophyta, Magnoliopsida, Ericales, Ericaceae. The record is from RefSeq and is a predicted model, not a curated record.
UCAUGUUCCCAUUGGACCUAAUGCAAUGAGAGUUUGGGUGGUUGUUCCAAAGAAGCCUGAAAUGUUUUUGUGGAGGCAAACAAGUUUUAUGACUACUAUUGAUGAAGCUGUUGGAUCUACCGUUGCAUGGCCUGCUGACAAGGUUCUUAUGGAAUCUAACCCAGGGUUUAUGGGUUGAUAAAGAAGAGAGAAGGUUUUUUUGUGACUUUUUGUUGAAGAUCGAUAUAGGUAAGAUCUGCUAGUGCGCUGGUUCUCAUGAUCACUUGGAAGGACUGUUUUGGUUCGAAGCCUUUUUGUUAAUAUUUUGGUGCCAAGGUUUAAACUCCACUUUUGGAAUACAUAGAUGUUUCGGAAGGCCUUUUUGUUAAUAUUUUGGUGCCAAGGCUUAAACUCUACUUUUGGGAUACAUAGAU